This 231-nucleotide long non-coding RNA is filed under the name Hordeum vulgare. RNAcentral describes it as "long non-coding RNA (HVUL_LNC010377)". The record is from RNAcentral. Lineage: Eukaryota; Viridiplantae; Streptophyta; Magnoliopsida; Poales; Poaceae.
CAUACUUAGUGUCUUCAAGGCAGCUCUCCUCUUCCUCAUCCUCUUCUUCUUCUUCAGAAGCAGCCUUUGCCUUUAAAGCAAGGUUGGGUGAAGCUGUCUUUGACCGAACGCGAGCAAGUGCAUUGUUAGCGGUCUCGUUCAUGAUUGACAUUGCAAUGAAUUCAUCCAACACCUCACUGGAAGACAAGGAGUGGAAAUCUGGUCGUUGGCGAAUGACGGAUGACAUGGCUU